UGGAGGAAAGCAGGGGAUCGUAAGACCUUGCGCUUUUGGAGUGGCCGAUGCCUGAUUAGCUAGUUGGUGGGGUAAGAGCCUACCAAGGCGACGAUCAGUAGUUGGUCUGAGGGGACGACCAGCCACACUGGGACUGAGACACGGCCCAGACUCCUACGGGAGGCAGCAGUGGGGAAUUUUGGACAAUGGGCGGAAGCCUGAUCCAGCAAUGCCGCGUGAGUGAAGAAGGCCUUCGGGUUGUAAAGCUCUUUCAGUCGAGAAGAAAAGGUUGCGACUAAUAAUCGCAACUUAUGACGGUAUCGACAGAAGAAGCACCGGCUAACUACGUGCCAGCAGCCGCGGUAAUACGUAGGGUGCGAGCGUUAAUCGGAAUUACUGGGCGUAAAGGGUGCGCAGGCGGCUCUGUAAGUCAGAUGUGA
Molecule: ribosomal RNA, 419 nt
Filed under: uncultured ammonia-oxidizing beta proteobacterium
Lineage: Bacteria; Pseudomonadati; Pseudomonadota; Betaproteobacteria
Description: bacterial SSU rRNA
Rfam family: Bacterial small subunit ribosomal RNA
Source: RNAcentral